This 28-nucleotide ribosomal RNA is filed under the name Inocybe napipes. RNAcentral describes it as "partial 18S ribosomal RNA". The record is from RNAcentral. Lineage: Eukaryota; Fungi; Basidiomycota; Agaricomycetes; Agaricales; Inocybaceae. RNAcentral also lists the same sequence under 8 other names.
GUUCGUAGUGACCUGCGGAGGAUCAUUA